UACGUAGGAGGCAAGCGUUGUCCGGAAUUACUGGGCGUAAAGCGCGUGUAGGUGGUGGGACAAGUCUGCUGUGAAAGCGCCUGGCUUAACCGGGCGAGGUCGGCGGAAACUGUCCGACUCGAGGACGGUAGAGGGGGGUGGAAUUCCCGGUGUAGUGGUGAAAUGCGUAGAGAUCGGGAUGAACACCUGUGGCGAAGGCGGCCCCCUGGGCCGGCCCUGACACUGAGACGCGAAGGCGUGGGGAGCGAACGGG
This 253-nucleotide ribosomal RNA is filed under the name uncultured bacterium. RNAcentral's name for it is "partial 16S ribosomal RNA". It matches the Rfam family "Bacterial small subunit ribosomal RNA", at positions 524 to 776 of the family's 1533-position model. The record is from RNAcentral.